UGAAAGUCUCUAGUAGUCUCUAGUACAGCACCUUUGAGUGCAGUACAAAGUCCCAGGAUGCUUUUCAGAGUCACUAUCUGAGAAAAAUGGGCGCCGUAAGAAAAGAGGAGCUAUUGAGCAGAAGCCAGGUUGAGGAGCUGCUUUCUCAGGAGAGCCAUAAGGGAGGCCACAGGGACGCUGAGGCAGAGCCCUGAGGGAAUCAAAGGGCCUGAAUGGAGUCUUGCUGUUUGGAGUUGCUUGAAGAAUUGGGUCUGACUACUUUGUGCUUUUGCAGCUUUUGAGAAUUCCUUGUACUCAAAUGAAGUGAAGGAGUGGGCGGGAGGAACAUUGUCCAGUGCUUGUAAAUUUCCCUCAUAAUUGCAAAAAUAACACGAUGAUCCUGUCGGUAUAUUUGUUAGCCCAAAAGCAUAAAUUAUGCUUGUAAUUCUCAACAGUGGUGUAAACUGCAAUUAAAUUUUGCAAGUAUAUUUAUUAUCUAAAGUGUGGAAUGGAUCUAACUCCUCAUGUCUUCUGAUACUGUUGGUACCUGUUGCACAAGUGAAACACAGUCAGAUUGUUGUUUCAAUACAGUCACUUAUUCUAUGUGCAGUCUUUUUAUUUCCCCAUUCACUCUCCUAUCAAAACCUUCCAGAAUACAAGAAGGAAAACUUGGGCCAACUUGCUGCACACCUUCUGCUGGUUUUAUCCUGUCACCAGCUGCGACGAGCUGUCCAUAGGAAUCCAGAUUUAUUUGGACACCUCAUUCUCUUCCCCUUUCUAAAUAAAGCACUUUAGUUCUGAGUGCUUGAUACUUCGACUAAGAUUAGAACAGCCCAUGUUUUAGACUGAUUGCCGAUACAAUGCCCACCACUUAUUCCAGGGCAGCCCUAAACCCUGUGCAACAGAAAUCUAACAUUAUAAGCAUAGCUCAAUAAUUAGUGCUGUCAUCUGAGUCAGAAUGUUAGGAGUUCAGUCGACAUCCCAAAGAUUUGAGCAGAGCAUCUCUCAAACCCACGACUUCUACCAUCCAGAGGGCCAAGGGCAAGUUCCUCUCUAAGCCACUCACCAUCCUGACUUGGAACAAUAUCACUUUCCCUUCACUAUCACUUGGCCAAAAUCCUGAAUACAUUUCCUAACAGCAUUGUAGGUGUAACUACACCACAUGGACUGCAUGAUUCAAAACUGUUCACAACCAUGUUCUCGAGCACAAUUAGAUGAGUGCAAAAAUUCUGGAUUUGUCAAUGAAACUCUCAACCUGUAAAAGAAUUUGAAAAAACAUCCGGUUUCAGUGCAGAACUGAUUAUUGAUAGUGCAGUCUCUCGGAUCAUGCAAUACUGAGGUCCUGUCUACCAUCUCCGAUUUAUCCCAUAACUAACAGUAUGAAAACAGCCUAUGUGGACACCUAUCUCAUUGCUAUUUGUGGACUUGCUAAGGGCUGAUUGUUUGCCUGUUUCCUGCCAUUACAACAAUGACUACCCAUCUAAACAUAAUUUCCUGUGGGUGUGAAAGGUUCCACAGAAAUGAAAGUUCUUUCCUAUAGUGAGUAACUGGAUGUUUUGGUAUAUUGUCAAAUGCUGCAAUAUUUCCUCUUGAUGGCCUGGUAAACCUGGUGGAGCUGGGGAAAUGGUGAGGCGCAUGUGCUGAAUUCAUGGCGUUUCUUAGCAAACUCUGCCCAACUGGCAUUCCUGGCAUAAGUUCGCACAGCGUGGAGGCAAUGUUGCUGGUUUAUCACUCUACACACUGGGGAGAUUCCCAACUGGGCAGGGCUGAACAUUGCAGAGACAUUUCAUUUUUAGGUGCCACGUGUCAGGCAGUUGGCAGAGGGCCAAUACACUGAUUUCAGAAUUGGGUGGAGAUUUGCACUUGUCUCUCAUUGAACCCAGGGAUGCUGCGCAGUAACGGAUGGUAAAUCCUCAGGAAUUACACGGGAAAAAACAACUUGUUUUAUUGCAAAAAAAAACAAUCCUCCUGUUAGUCAUCUUCCUCCGCUAUCAGCACCUGUCAUCUGCUGCUUAUGGCUGUAAAAGCAGCUGCUUUUUGUGUGAGAUCAGCGACUGAACAUUCGUUGCUGAAUGUUAAAAUAAUCAUCCUGUGAAUCCGGUUGUAAAAUAAAUUGAUGCAGAACAUGAACUGUUAACUUUGGCAGAAUUUGAGAUGUAAUUAAUUCUAAAUUAAAUCCGGUCACAGAAUGAGCAUGUCACGCAUGUUUGGGGAUAUUUUGCUCAGAUGAAAUUACGUGUUAAAUUUUGCAAACGUUAUUUGACAGUAUCCUGGAGGAGAGAAUUGGAUGCGCUGAUGCAGAAUCCACCCUUACAGUCCCCCUCCUGAUAAUUUAAAGUUGUUCUGCUAACAGAAACUUGAAUUAAAUUUCUCCAAAAGUUCAUUUGAGCUGCUAAAAUAAAAGCAGUAUAUUAACUUGAAAACUUUUUUAGUUAUCAGAUAAUACUAAUUAAACAGCUACAAAUUAGGGAUAGAAUGUAUUGCUUCGUAGGUUUUAAAUAAAUUCAACAUAGUACGAUGAAAUGCUGACUCUCCUCCCCUUCUCUUGCUUUACCAGUAUCCUCAUUGCCUGAGGGUUGCUAAUUAUGGCAUUUGCCAUGAUUUCACUCUGGGGCAAGGAAAGAGAGCAGCUCCCAGAACUAGCCCACCUAGUACAGGAUAUGAAUGUAGUUUCCUGGUGUUACUCUGUACCAUACUUUAGUCAACAGAAUUAACGAGCCCGUGAGCCCUUCCCCAACACCGAAUUCAUAAUACCAGGAGGGAGAAGAUGCAAGUUUAAAAAUAGAAUUUGUCAUAAAGUUUUUUACUUCCCUUCUUCCUGAAAACUCCCUAUCUCUCACUGUUUCUCCCCAGUUUGAUGCUUGAAUUACAGUUUUCCUGUUGCUUACACAGUACCUGGGACAUUCCUCAGAGUCAGGAAGUUUUGGGUUCAAGUCACAGUCCAGAGGAAAUUUUCAGCUGACUGUUCAGGAUUGAUGAAGGUCCUGCAUUCAGAUGAGUUGUUAAACCAAGGCCUUGCUUGCCCCCUCAAGUGGAUAUCAAAGAUCAUAUGUGUCACCAUCUGAAGAUAAAGGGUAUUUUGUCCAGUGUUUAUCCUUCAAUCAAUGUCAUACAACAGAUUAAUUGGUCGUUAGCACAUUCUGUUUGCAGGACCUUGCUGUGCACAAAUUGCAUGCUGCCUUUACUCCAUUACGAUAAUUACACUUCAUUUGGCUGUCAUUGGGAUGUCCAGAGGUCAUAAAAAGCACAUUGUCAAGUGAAUGCAAGCAUUUCUCUCCUAUAUAGAGCCAUCGGAUGAAUACACAGUCCUGUCUUAUUCCAGCACUAAGUGCAAUUCAUUGCAGCAGUACUUGAACUUUGCUGUCCUCCCCUCUCCCUCAGCACUGUAAGCUGCUGUCAAGCCCAUCUAACCUUGAGUAAGAUGCAAACACCUGGCAACUGGUCUGAAAAUCAUUUGGAUUAACUGAUUAUCUGAGAGAUCUCCUUGUAAUAUGAGUGCUUAUAAUAAUACAUUCUUAGGUUUCUCUGUUGGCAGAAACUAAUACCCACUUUGUCCAAAAUCUCCAGUUAGACUUUUGAUGCUGUACAGUGAGUUCGUAAAUAAUAAUCUCCCAAUCACAAAUAUAGUAAAUAGCUUCUGAACACUGUAAAAGAUCUUGGCUGUUGACAAGUUCUUGGAGCAUAAGAGGACCUAACUGUACAUGGUCGGUAUUUCUCUGCUCCCAUAUUUAAUUCAUUAGUCACCUACUAACCAGGUAACAGAUGUUCUGUGUGGACUGUUCUCUCCAGUGAUCAGGAAUGGGGAUAUUUUGUCAUCCAGGAGAUGACAUUAAAAUGGAGUGCAGCCACCGUCCUAUCCAUAGUGCUGCUAGAGCAUAACUUCAACCUGUUCCUUUUGACAUGCUGUUGCUAGGCAACUGCUUCAAAGCAGUUCAGCUGAAUGCACUUCUGUCACAGAAACAAAACCCAAGUAUUUUACUGCUGCCUGUUGGGGAGGGGAUGGGAGUGUGUCCUUCACCCUUCCAGGAUUUUCAUUGGAGGGGGGAAGAGAGUUUUUUAAAAAUCUUGAAAUACAUGCACAAUUCUAUGAUUUUUCCAUCUUAUUAAUCCGCAAACCCCAAAGUCCAUAUCCAGACUCACACCUAGCCUGGUUCACCCAUCAGUCGCUGUACUCGCUUGAUGUGGAUUGGCUCCUGUUUUGGUAAUGCUUCAAAUUUAAAAUUGCUCAUCCUUGUGAUUGAAUGACCUUGUCCAUUCCUUACCCCUGUAAUCUCCUCUGACUCCAGAACCCCAAUCCAAUCUGUUUGCACUUUCCAGAUUGUGGAUUGAUAUUAAAUUUUGUUCCAUAAUUACUUAUGGAAAAUAUGUUGAGAUGUUAUAUUAAAGGUGCUUCUUUAAAU
Molecule: non-coding RNA, 4379 nt
Organism: Chiloscyllium plagiosum (whitespotted bambooshark)
Lineage: Eukaryota; Metazoa; Chordata; Chondrichthyes; Orectolobiformes; Hemiscylliidae
Source: RefSeq, a predicted model, not a curated record